This 292-nucleotide ribosomal RNA is filed under the name uncultured bacterium. Its description in RNAcentral is "partial 16S ribosomal RNA". It matches the Rfam family "Bacterial small subunit ribosomal RNA", at positions 505 to 796 of the family's 1533-position model. The record is from RNAcentral.
GUGUCAGCCGCCGCGGUAAUACGUAGGGAGCAAGCGUUGUCCGGAAUCAUUGGGCGUAAAGCGCGCGUAGGUGGCCCCAUAAGUCCGCUGUGAAAGUCAAAGGCUCAACCUUUGAAAGCCGGUGGAUACUGUGGGACUAGAGUACGGAAGAGGCGAGUGGAAUUCCUGGUGUAGCGGUGGAAUGCGCAGAUAUCAGGAGGAACACCAAUAGCGAAGGCAGCUCGCUGGGACGUUACUGACACUGAGGCGCGAAAGCGUGGGGAGCGAACAGGAUUAGAUACCCGCGUAGUCC